CUACGGGUUGCUGCAGUGAGGAAUAUUGCACAAUGGGGGAAACCCUGAUGCAGCAACGCCGCGUGGAGGAUGACGCAUUUCGGUGUGUAAACUCCUUUUAUCAGAGAAGAAAAUGACGGUAUCUGAUGAAUAAGCUCCGGCUAACUCCGUGCCAGCAGCCGCGGUAAUACGGAGGGAGCAAGCGUUAUUCGGAAUCACUGGGCGUAAAGGACGCGUAGGCGGGUUUUUAAGUCAGGUGUGAAAUCCUAUGGCUCAACCAUAGAACUGCACUUGAAACUGGGGGCCUAGAGUAUGGAAGGGGCAGGUGGAAUUAGUGGUGUAGGGGUAAAAUCCGUAGAUAUCACUAGGAAUACCGAAAGCGAAGGCGACCUGCUGGGACAUUACUGACGCUGAGGCGUGAAAGCGUGGGGAGCAAACAGGAUUAGAUACCCCUGUAGUC
This 439-nucleotide ribosomal RNA is filed under the name uncultured bacterium. RNAcentral describes it as "partial 16S ribosomal RNA". It matches the Rfam family "Bacterial small subunit ribosomal RNA", at positions 339 to 795 of the family's 1533-position model. The record is from RNAcentral.